CAGGCCUAACACAUGCAAGUCGUGCGAGAAAGGGCUUCGGCCCCGGUAAAGCGGCGCACGGGUGAGUAACACGUAGGUAAUCUCCCCUCGAGUGGUGGAUAACUCUCCGAAAGGAGAACUAAUACAGCAUAAGACCACGACCUCGCUGAGGUUGCGGUCAAAGUAGGCCUCUACAUGUAAGCUUACGCUUGAGGAUGAGCCUGCGGCCCAUCAUGCUAGUUGGUAGGGUAACGGCCUACCAAGGCGAAGACGGGCAGCUGGUCUGAGAGGAUGAACAGCCACACUGGAACUGAGACACGGUCCAGACUCCUACGGGAGGCAGCAGUGGGGAAUCUUGCGCAAUGGGCGAAAGCCUGACGCAGCGACGCCGCGUGAGCGAUGAAGGCCUUCGGGUUGUAAAGCUCUGUGGGGAGGGAAGAAUAAGGGUGAACUAACACUUCAUCUGAUGACGGUACCUCCUUAGCAAGCACCGGCUAACUCUGUGCCAGCAGCCGCGGUAAU
This 501-nucleotide ribosomal RNA is filed under the name uncultured bacterium. Its description in RNAcentral is "bacterial SSU rRNA". It matches the Rfam family "Bacterial small subunit ribosomal RNA", at positions 43 to 524 of the family's 1533-position model. The record is from RNAcentral.